RNAcentral lists this long non-coding RNA (550 nucleotides) under Equus caballus (horse). RNAcentral describes it as "lncRNA (ENSECAG00000041007.2)". The record is from RNAcentral. Lineage: Eukaryota; Metazoa; Chordata; Mammalia; Perissodactyla; Equidae.
CAAUUUGGGUCUCUUCUCUUCUGACGUAAUGCGUUUCCUGCUUUCGCACUGCAGUGUGCAGUUCACUGGCUGGAAAGCCUGAAGAGCAAUGGACUGAACGCCAAGAUAAUUACUGCCACUAUCUUGCGAUUUAUUUUCCACGAAUACACUUGAACUGAUUUCAAAGCCCUGGCUUUGUUUUAAGCCAAACGAUUGUGGAAGCUGCAGCCUUUCCUCUCCCUCUCCAGAAACCGAGCUGGGAAGUGGGUAAAAACCACCAUGGAACGUGCGCGGACACUCUCCCACGCCCCGCACGCCCACAGGGACGGGAGCAGCAGCGGCCACCCCGCGCGCGCCCGGGUAACUACAGCCCCGCGGCCACCGCCGCCACCGCCCAGCCGGGCCGGGGAGACUCCCAAGGGCUCUUUAAAUACGAUCUAUAAAUACUACGGGCUCUGGGCGCGCGCGUCACCGCAGAGCCGGCCUCCCAUUGGCCGCCGUCCCCUCGCUUAUUUGCAUAGCCGGAUUGCUCAACCGGGCGGCGACCUCGGCCGGGCGCGCCCCUCCCCCC